UCCACUCCCUCCCACGGCCCAUGGAAGAGAAAGAGCAGCCCCUGUGGCAGGCAGCUCUGCACUGAAGGGAAGCUGCGGCCCAGAGAGGUUCAGAUGUUUCUCCAGGCCACACAGCCAAUUCAGAAUACCAAUAAAGACGAAUUUACACCAUGUUAGCAGUCAAUCCAUCAUACACGGCGAAUCUUGGGAAAGCAGCUCGCGUGCUGAGUUGCUCUCAUCCUGGUGGGGCAGCCCAAGUCCCUCCAGCAAGCAACCCGGAAGAAGAACAUCUGCCACCCAUCCUUCGGGAUUCGAGGAAAGCUUCCCCAAGCGCUCUCCUACUUGGGGCCGAGCACCUUUUUUCACCCAAGAACCCCAUAGGGAAGCAAAAGCGUAGUGGCGUUGUUGUGGGCGUGUGUUCUAAUAAACUGUCGGU
Long non-coding RNA from Lutra lutra (Eurasian river otter), 415 nucleotides. RefSeq lists it as uncharacterized. Lineage: Eukaryota; Metazoa; Chordata; Mammalia; Carnivora; Mustelidae. The record is from RefSeq and is a predicted model, not a curated record. The transcript is spliced from 3 exons.